This 216-nucleotide ribosomal RNA is filed under the name Glomeromycotina sp. Its description in RNAcentral is "partial small subunit ribosomal RNA". The stretch from base 40 to 216 matches the Rfam family "Eukaryotic small subunit ribosomal RNA", at positions 686 to 864 of the family's 1831-position model. Lineage: Eukaryota; Fungi; Glomeromycota. The record is from RNAcentral.
GGGUCAGUAGGUUGGUCGUGCCACCGGUACGUACUGGUCUCACUGAUUCCUCCUUCCUGAAGAACCGUAAGGCCAUUAAUUUGGUGUUGCGGGGAAACAGGACUGUUACUUUGAAAAAAUUAGAGUGUUUAAAGCAAGCUAACGCUUGAAUACAUUAGCAUGGAAUAAUGAAAUAGGACGAUCGAUCCUAUUUUAUUGGUUUCUAGGAUUGACGUA